UACGGAGGAUCCAAGGCGUUAUCCGGAAUCAUUGGGUUUAAAGGGUCCGUAGGCGGCCUUAUAAGUCAGUGGUGAAAGCCCCAGUCGCUCAACGAUGGAGCUCGCCAUUGAUACUGUAAGGCUUGAAUUAUUGUGAAGUAACUAGAAUAUGUAGUGUAGCGGUGAAAUGCUUAGAUAUUACAUGGAAUACCAAUUGCGAAGGCAGGUUACUAACAAUGGGAUUGACGCUGAUGGACGAAAGCGUGGGGAGCGAACAGGAUUAGAUACCCCGGUAGU
RNAcentral lists this ribosomal RNA (276 nucleotides) under uncultured bacterium. RNAcentral's name for it is "partial 16S ribosomal RNA". It matches the Rfam family "Bacterial small subunit ribosomal RNA", at positions 524 to 794 of the family's 1533-position model. The record is from RNAcentral.